GACGAACGCUGGCGGCGUGCUUAACACAUGCAAGUCGAACGGAAAGGCCCUGCUUUUGUGGGGUGCUCGAGUGGCGAACGGGUGAGUAACACGUAAGUAACCUGCCCCUGACUUUGGGAUAACGUCAGGAAACUGGGGCUAAUACCGGAUAGGAGCUCCAGCUGCAUGGUGGGGGUUGGAAAGUUCGGGCGGUUGGGGAUGGACUCGCGGCUUAUCAGCUUGUUGGUGGGGUAGUGGCUUACCAAGGCUUUGACGGGUAGCCGGCCUGAGAGGGUAACCGGCCACAUUGGGACUGAGAUACGGCCCAGACUCCUACGGGAGGCAGCAGUGGGGAAUAUUGCACAAUGGGCGGAAGCCUGAUGCAGCAACGCCGCGUGCGGGAUGACGGCCUUCGGGUUGUAAACCGCUUUCGCCUGUGACGAAGCGUGAGUGACGGUAAUGGGUAAAGAAGCACCGGCUAACUACGUG
RNAcentral lists this ribosomal RNA (468 nucleotides) under uncultured bacterium. RNAcentral describes it as "partial 16S ribosomal RNA". It matches the Rfam family "Bacterial small subunit ribosomal RNA", at positions 28 to 507 of the family's 1533-position model. The record is from RNAcentral.